Molecule: non-coding RNA, 183 nt
Filed under: Lysobacteraceae bacterium NML71-0210
Lineage: Bacteria; Pseudomonadati; Pseudomonadota; Gammaproteobacteria; Lysobacterales; Lysobacteraceae
Description: Xanthomonadaceae bacterium NML71-0210 6S RNA
Rfam family: 6S / SsrS RNA
About the family: E. coli 6S RNA was the first non coding RNA to be sequenced, but its function was unknown until recently. It consists of 184 nucleotides that fold into an extended hairpin structure with a large single-stranded internal bulge.
Source: RNAcentral
CAUCCUCUGCCUUGAGCGACAGCGCGCAAACAUUCGCCUUGUCCCUUAAGAACGACAUCGGGUUGGCAACCUCGUUCAGGUGCGCAUGUCCGCCACGCAGCGGGAAGCCCAAAGACGAUCCAGCCUUCCCACUUGAACCCCGGGUUCAAGGUCGUUUCGCCGCAUCGCCACGGCGGAGGGUGU